GACGAACGCUGGCGGCGUGCCUAAUGCAUGCAAGUCGAGCGACGCACAUCGGAGGGGUAACCCACCGAUAUGCCGGAGCGGCGAACGGGUGAGUAACACGUGAGCAACCUGCCCCACAGAUCGGGAUAGCCCAGGGAAACCUGGAUUAAUACCGAAUACCCUCGAGUAACCACAUGAUUGUUCGAGGAAAUGCCUUUGUGCUGUGGGAUGGGCUCGCGGCUUAUCAGCUAGUUGGUGGGGUAACGGCCUACCAAGGCAUCGACGAGUAGCUGGUCUGAGAGGACGAUCAGCCACACUGGGACUGAGACACGGCCCAGACUCCUACGGGAGGCAGCAGCAGGGAAUCUUGCGCAAUGGGCGAAAGCCUGACGCAGCAACGCCGCGUGGGGGAUGAAGGCCUUCGGGUUGUAAACCCCUUUCAGGAGGGAAGAAAUUGACGGUACCUCCAAAAGAAGCCCCGGCUAACUACGUG
RNAcentral lists this ribosomal RNA (472 nucleotides) under uncultured bacterium. RNAcentral's name for it is "partial 16S ribosomal RNA". It matches the Rfam family "Bacterial small subunit ribosomal RNA", at positions 28 to 507 of the family's 1533-position model. The record is from RNAcentral.